This is a microRNA precursor of Bos indicus x Bos taurus (hybrid cattle), 79 nucleotides long. The record is from Ensembl. Lineage: Eukaryota; Metazoa; Chordata; Mammalia; Artiodactyla; Bovidae.
CAUCCUUCUCCAGCCGUCUCCUGUCCUGUUCUGUGUGCUGAACAGCAGUGCGGACAGGAAAGACGGUUUGAGAGGGAAA